CUAAAAGUUCUAUACUGCAGAGGAGACAGAACUUUCCUUUGAUGUGAAGAUUACCUUUUCUGAUGUUAUGGAAAGUUCUCUCUGCCCUCCCCACUCAGAUGAGGAUCAGAUGAAAGGACGCUGGAUGAAGCUGCACCAACAGCAGGGCCCUCCCCUAGAGUGACCAGGCCUCCGGCGGGCGGGCGAGAGACAGGCUGGGGCAAGCCCGGCAGGGUGGGGAGGACACGGGACCAGGGACACGACCUGCAGAAUGGCACCUUGGAGCGCUUUGGCUGAGAGCAGUGUAACCCGCCACCGUUGUCACAGGCCCUGGAACACACACAAACCCUGGAGGAGACUCGCUGGAGCAGCCCCGGCACACGCCUCCCCAGAACCAGGGAAGGAUGCCGGCCAUGGGCAGCUGUCCGCUCGGCCACCGAGUUAGAGGAGCGAUGUCCAGACGCCCGGGACCGUGGACAAGCCCCAGCCAGGUGAGGCCUGCCCAGAGCUCUGACACUGGCUACUCACUCACCGGCUGCACACCACCUGUCCUGGUCAGACAGGAGCAGCCCUGGGGUUGCUGAGGACCCGGAUGACGGCUGACCAGACCACAGGGAGGGUAGAGUGGGUAUGUGGCCUCCUGCUGGGAGCGUGACUCUGGUUGUAAGGGAGAUGACACCCCCACCUUCCCGUGGGCUGUGACCACUGAGAGAACCAC
Long non-coding RNA from Rhinolophus ferrumequinum (greater horseshoe bat), 697 nucleotides. RefSeq lists it as uncharacterized. Lineage: Eukaryota; Metazoa; Chordata; Mammalia; Chiroptera; Rhinolophidae. The transcript has 3 exons. The record is from RefSeq and is a predicted model, not a curated record.